AAUAGAUACCCCGGUAGUCCACGCCCUAAACGAUGAUAACUCGAUGUUUGCGAUACACAGUAAGCGUCUUAGCGAAAGCGUUAAGUUAUCCACCUGGGGAGUACGGUCGCAAGAUUGAAACUCAAAGGAAUUGACGGGGGCCCGCACAAGCGGAGGAGCAUGUGGUUUAAUUCGAUGAUACGCGAGGAACCUUACCCGGGCUUGAAAGUUAGUGAAUGAGACAGAGACGUCUCAGUCCUUCGGGACACGAACUAGGUGCUGCAUGGCUGUCGUCAGCUCGUGCCGUGAGGUGUUGGGUUAAGUCCCGCAACGAGCGCAACCCCGUAUGUUUAGUUGCCAGCACGUCAUGGUGGGACUCUAAACAGACUGCCUGUGCAAACAGAGAGGAAGGUGGGGACGACGUCAAGUCAUCAUGGCCCUUACGUCCGGGGCUACACACGUGCUACAAUGGAUGGUACAGCGGGCAGCUACAUAGCAAUAUGAUGCUAAUCUCUAAAAGCCAUUCACAGUUCGGAUUG
This 518-nucleotide ribosomal RNA is filed under the name uncultured bacterium. RNAcentral describes it as "bacterial SSU rRNA". It matches the Rfam family "Bacterial small subunit ribosomal RNA", at positions 777 to 1300 of the family's 1533-position model. The record is from RNAcentral.